RNAcentral lists this unclassified non-coding RNA (248 nucleotides) under Pseudorobillarda phragmitis. RNAcentral describes it as "partial internal transcribed spacer region". The stretch from base 1 to 46 matches the Rfam family "Eukaryotic small subunit ribosomal RNA", at positions 1786 to 1831 of the family's 1831-position model. RNAcentral also lists the same sequence under 1 other name. The record is from RNAcentral. Lineage: Eukaryota; Fungi; Ascomycota; Dothideomycetes; Pleosporales.
AAGUCGUAACAAGGUUUCCGUAGGUGAACCUGCGGAAGGAUCAUUACAAGAGUAUUUCAGUUUGGCUUUAUGCCCUCUGAAAAUCUCCACCCUUUGUUUACAUUACCUUUGUUGUUGCCUCGGUGGGUGCUUUUAUGGCACCUGCCGGCAGACACCUUCAAAAACCCUUGAUUUAAUACUAUAGUCAGAGCUGUAACAAGCAAAAGAUUAAUAAAUCAAAACUUUCAACAACGGAUCUCUUGGUUCUG